UACGUAGGGGGCAAGCGUUAUCCGGAUUUACUGGGUGUAAAGGGAGCGUAGACGGCUGUACAAGUCUGAAGUGAAAGCCCGUGGCUCAACCGCGGAACUGCUUUGGAAACUGUAAAGCUGGAGUACUGGAGAGGCAGGCGGAAUUCCUAGUGUAGCGGUGAAAUGCGUAGAUAUUAGGAGGAACACCAGUGGCGAAGGCGGCCUGCUGGACAGAAACUGACGCUGAGGUUCGAAAGCGUGGGUAGCAAACAGG
Molecule: ribosomal RNA, 253 nt
Filed under: uncultured bacterium
Lineage: Bacteria
Description: partial 16S ribosomal RNA
Rfam family: Bacterial small subunit ribosomal RNA
Source: RNAcentral